RNAcentral lists this unclassified non-coding RNA (336 nucleotides) under soil metagenome. Its description in RNAcentral is "partial contains 5.8S ribosomal RNA, internal transcribed spacer 2, and large subunit ribosomal RNA". The stretch from base 1 to 120 matches the Rfam family "5.8S ribosomal RNA", at positions 35 to 154 of the family's 154-position model. The record is from RNAcentral.
GAUGAAGAACGUAGCGAAAUGCGAUAAGUAAUGUGAAUUGCAGAAUUCAGUGAAUCAUCGAAUCUUUGAACGCACAUUGCGCCCGCCAGUGUUCUGGCGGGCAUGCCUGUUCGAGCGUCAUUUCAACCAUCAAGCCCCAGGCUUGUGUUGGGGACCUGCGGCUGCCGCAGGCCCUGAAAACCAGUGGCGGGCUCGCUGUCACACCGGGCGUAGUAGAUUUUAUCUCGCUCAGGGCGUGCUGCGGGUUCCGGCCGUUAAAAAGCCUUUUUUACCCAAGGUUGACCUCGGAUCAGGUAGGAAGACCCGCUGAACUUAAGCAUAUCAAUAAGCGGAGGA